AGUGAACGCUGGCGGUAGGCCUAACACAUGCAAGUCGAACGGCAGCACAGUAAGAGCUUGCUCUUACGGGUGGCGAGUGGCGGACGGGUGAGGAAUACAUCGGAAUCUACUUUUUCGUGGGGGAUAACGUAGGGAAACUUACGCUAAUACCGCAUACGACCUACGGGUGAAAGCAGGGGAUCUUCGGACCUUGCGCGAUUGAAUAAGCCGAUGUCGGAUUAGCUAGUUGGCGGGGUAAAGGCCCACCAAGGCGACGAUCCGUAGCUGGUCUGAGAGGAUGAUCAGCCACACUGGAACUGAGACACGGUCCAGACUCCUACGGGAGGCAGCAGUGGGGAAUAUUGGACAAUGGGCGCAAGCCUGAUCCAGCCAUACCGCGUGGGUGAAGAAGGCCUUCGGGUUGUAAAGCCCUUUUGUUGGGAAAAAAAAGCAGCAGGUUAAUACCCCGCUGUUCUGACGGUACCCAAAGAAUAAGCACCGGCUAACUUCGUG
RNAcentral lists this ribosomal RNA (492 nucleotides) under uncultured bacterium. RNAcentral describes it as "partial 16S ribosomal RNA". It matches the Rfam family "Bacterial small subunit ribosomal RNA", at positions 29 to 507 of the family's 1533-position model. The record is from RNAcentral.